RNAcentral lists this ribosomal RNA (301 nucleotides) under uncultured bacterium. RNAcentral describes it as "partial 16S ribosomal RNA". It matches the Rfam family "Bacterial small subunit ribosomal RNA", at positions 509 to 807 of the family's 1533-position model. The record is from RNAcentral.
CAGCCGCCACGGGAAUACGAAGGGGGCUAGUGUUGUUCGGAAUCACUGGGCGUAAAGCGCACGUAGGCGGACUUUUAAGUCAGGGGUGAAAUCCCAAGGCUCAACCUUGGAACUGCCUUUGAUACUGGAAGUCUUGAGUUCGGGAGAGGUGAGUGGAACUGCGAGUGUAGAGGUGAAAUUCGUAGAUAUUCGCAAGAACACCAGUGGCGAAGGCGGCUCACUGGCCCGAUACUGACGCUGAGGUGCGAAAGCGUGGGGAGCAAACAGGAUUAGAUACCCCGGUAGUCCCUGUCUCUUAUAC